AACCACACACUAAGGUAGUAAUAAACCUAUAUAAAAACGGCGGCAUUUUUACCUCAGAGAGACCUGUAUUAUAAUCGAUACUCCACGCUAAAUUUAACUUUUAUUUAAAAUUUAUAUACCGCCAUCUAAAGAAUUACUUUAAAAACAUAACUCCAAAAACUAAUAUAAAAAGUUAGGUCAAGGUGUAAUCAAUAUAAAAGAAAAUAUGGGUUACAAAUAAAAAAAAAUAUAAAUAAAUUAAUAAAAACUAAUAAAAAUAAAAUUUGAUAGUAAACAAAAAACAAUAAUUUAACUUGAAUUAAUAAAAAAGUGC
RNAcentral lists this ribosomal RNA (313 nucleotides) under Zearchaea sp. LB-2014a. Its description in RNAcentral is "partial 12S ribosomal RNA". The record is from RNAcentral. Lineage: Eukaryota; Metazoa; Arthropoda; Arachnida; Araneae; Mecysmaucheniidae.